RNAcentral lists this long non-coding RNA (712 nucleotides) under Elaeis guineensis (African oil palm). RNAcentral describes it as "long non-coding RNA (EGUI_LNC051847)". The record is from RNAcentral. Lineage: Eukaryota; Viridiplantae; Streptophyta; Magnoliopsida; Arecales; Arecaceae.
UAGAAGCAAGUCUAAAAUGAUAGGGUUAGAAAAGGCAAGGAAAAAAUUAUCUCUUGAAAAAGAAUGAAAGAGAAAUUUAGAGAAAAAUUUUUUUCAGUCGAUUAUCAACAAACCUUAUUUCAAAAACUUCACAAUCUUAGGUAGGGGUCUAAAAUAGUACAAGAAUACACUGAAGAAUUUUAUAUCUUGCAAGCCUGUAAUAAUCUUAAGGAGGAUGAAGAAUAGCGAAUAGCUUGCUAUCUUACCGGACUUCGUCUUUAAAUUCAAGAUGAAUUAACCUUUUAUAAUUUUCUGCAGAUCGAUGUGGUCUACAGUCAUGCACUUAAGGCCGAGUCCAAAUUGAAAAGAUAAACAUUCCGACAAGAAAACCUAGGUGAGAAGACUUUUGUAGGAACCAAACUAGUCCUGAAAAAUGACAUCCAACCCCUUCCAAAAUAUGUUGAUACUAAGGGUAAAGGAAUUUUAGGUCCUAAGCCUCUAGAGUCCAAUAUCACUUGUUAUAAGUUUAGACAAUUGGGUCAUAAAUUAUCAGAGUGCCCUUUGAGAUAAUUUCAACCUAAGACAAAUUUGAUUGAAAAUGCCAACAAGAGUGAAUAAGAAGAAGAGAUAAAAAUGUAAGAGAAAGAUGCUAUUGGAGAUAGCAAGAUCCUCGAUGAGCCUGCUGAAGUUACUAAAUCAAACUUAAUGAUCAAUCGUAUCCUUAUCACACCCA